This 48-nucleotide transfer RNA is filed under the name Leptotrombidium deliense. Its description in RNAcentral is "tRNA-Tyr". Lineage: Eukaryota; Metazoa; Arthropoda; Arachnida; Trombidiformes; Trombiculidae. The record is from RNAcentral.
GUAAGAGUAAUAGUGAUUGUAAAUCACUAAAAGAGGAAUCCUCUUUCA